RNAcentral lists this ribosomal RNA (449 nucleotides) under uncultured bacterium. RNAcentral describes it as "partial 16S ribosomal RNA". It matches the Rfam family "Bacterial small subunit ribosomal RNA", at positions 29 to 523 of the family's 1533-position model. The record is from RNAcentral.
AGCGAACGCUGGCGGCAGGCCUAACACAUGCAAGUCGAACGAACUCUUCGGAGUUAGUGGCGGACGGGUGAGUAACACGUGGGAACGUGCCUUUAGGUUCGGAAUAACUCAGGGAAACUUGUGCUAAUACCGAAUGUGCCCUUCGGGGGAAAGAUUUAUCGCCUUUAGAGCGGCCCGCGUCUGAUUAGCUAGUUGGUGAGGUAAAGGCUCACCAAGGCGACGAUCAGUAGCUGGUCUGAGAGGAUGAUCAGCCACAUUGGGACUGAGACACGGCCCAAACUCCUGCGGGAGGCAGAAGUGGGGAAUCUUGCGCAAUGGGCGAAAGCCUGACGCAGCCAUGCCGCGUGAAUGAUGAAGGUCUUAGGAUUGUAAAAUUCUUUCACCGGGGACGAUAAUGACGGUACCCGGAGAAGAAGCCCCGGCUAACUUCGUGCCAGCAGCCGCCGUAA